AUAGAUCACUGAUAAUGAAAGCAACUGUAGUCUUGGUCUGGAUCGUAUGUCAGGCAGUGACAGGAAUCAAGCCACAGGAAUGUACUUCUGAAAGAAAAGGAGGGGCUAAUCAGAUUUAUACUAAAGAUGCUGGUAGUUCUUCAGCUUGUGACACGAAGGAUCCAAACAUUUCCAAAAUUGGACGAACCAGUACGACGAUGACAGUAUUCGUGGACAAUGACCUGCAUUACUUAGUUUGUUAUAAAAAGGCAGAUGAAACCGAAUGGUCAUUCAAAGAAAUCAACAAUAAUAAAACGGAUUUGUAUGAAUUAGCCGUGUGUACCGAGUACACUAUCGGUCUUGC
This is a long non-coding RNA of Dendronephthya gigantea, 343 nucleotides long. RefSeq lists it as uncharacterized. Lineage: Eukaryota; Metazoa; Cnidaria; Anthozoa; Malacalcyonacea; Nephtheidae. The record is from RefSeq and is a predicted model, not a curated record. The transcript is spliced from 3 exons.